UUUUAUGGAGAGUUUGAUCCUGGCUCAGGAUGAACGCUGGCGGCGUGCCUAAUACAUGCAAGUCGAGCGAACAGACGAGGAGCUUGCUCCUCUGACGUUAGCGGCGGACGGGUGAGUAACACGUGGAUAACCUACCUAUAAGACUGGGAUAACUUCGGGAAACCGGAGCUAAUACCGGAUAAUAUAUUGAACCGCAUGGUUCAAUAGUGAAAGACGGUUUUGCUGUCACUUAUAGAUGGAUCCGCGCCGCAUUAGCUAGUUGGUAAGGUAACGGCUUACCAAGGCAACGAUGCGUAGCCGACCUGAGAGGGUGAUCGGCCACACUGGAACUGAGACACGGUCCAGACUCCUACGGGAGGCAGCAGUAGGGAAUCUUCCGCAAUGGGCGAAAGCCUGACGGAGCAACGCCGCGUGAGUGAUGAAGGUCUUCGGAUCGUAAAACUCUGUUAUUAGGGAAGAACAAAUGUGUAAGUAACUAUGCACGUCUUGACGGUACCUAAUCAGAAAGCCACGGCUAACUACGUGCCAGCAGCCGCGGUAAUACGUAGGUGGCAAGCGUUAUCCGGAAUUAUUGGGCGUAAAGCGCGCGUAGGCGGUUUUUUAAGUCUGAUGUGAAAGCCCACGGCUCAACCGUGGAGGGUCAUUGGAAACUGGAAAACUUGAGUGCAGAAGAGGAAAGUGGAAUUCCAUGUGUAGCGGUGAAAUGCGCAGAGAUAUGGAGGAACACCAGUGGCGAAGGCGACUUUCUGGUCUGUAACUGACGCUGAUGUGCGAAAGCGUGGGGAUCAAACAGGAUUAGAUACCCUGGUAGUCCACGCCGUAAACGAUGAGUGCUAAGUGUUAGG
Molecule: ribosomal RNA, 845 nt
Filed under: Listeria monocytogenes
Lineage: Bacteria; Bacillati; Bacillota; Bacilli; Caryophanales; Listeriaceae
Description: bacterial SSU rRNA
Rfam family: Bacterial small subunit ribosomal RNA
Source: RNAcentral